RNAcentral lists this unclassified non-coding RNA (199 nucleotides) under uncultured Sebacinaceae. RNAcentral's name for it is "sequence contains ITS2". The record is from RNAcentral. Lineage: Eukaryota; Fungi; Basidiomycota; Agaricomycetes; Sebacinales; Sebacinaceae.
UAAUCUCACUCCAACAUCUUUAUUGAUGUUGGAUGUGGACUUGGAUGUUGUCGUGUUCAACGACUCGUCUUAAAUGCCUGAGUGUACCCUGCUUUUGCAGCGUAUCAGUGUGAUAAACAUCUUCACUGUUAAGUCUUUUGGGACACGCUUGUGUUGUAGGCUCUAUGCUUUCCAACCGUCCUCUGGACAAUCUCUGACA